GUGUCAGCCGCCGCGGUAAUACGUAGGUGGCGAGCGUUGUCCGGAAUUACUGGGUGUAAAGGGCGUGUAGGCGGGAAAGUAAGUCAGAUGUGAAAUUCCAGGGCUCAACCCUGGCGCUGCAUCUGAAACUAUUUUUCUUGAGUGCUGGAGAGGGAAGCGGAAUUCCUAGUGUAGCGGUGAAAUGCGUAGAUAUUAGGAGGAACACCAGUGGCGAAGGCGGCUUUCUGGACAGUAACUGACGCUGAGGCGCGAAAGCGUGGGGAGCAAACAGGAUUAGAAACCCGCGUAGUCC
Molecule: ribosomal RNA, 292 nt
Filed under: uncultured bacterium
Lineage: Bacteria
Description: partial 16S ribosomal RNA
Rfam family: Bacterial small subunit ribosomal RNA
Source: RNAcentral